UACGGAGGGUGCAAGCGUUAUCCGGAUUCACUGGGUUUAAAGGGUGCGUAGGUGGGUUGGUAAGUCAGUGGUGAAAUCUCCGAGCUUAGCUUGGAAACUGCCAUUGAUACUAUCAGUCUUGAAUAUUGUGGAGGUCAGCGGAAUAUGUCAUGUAGCGGUGAAAUGCUUAGAUAUGACAUAGAACACCAAUUGCGAAGGCAGCUGGCUACACAUAUAUUGACACUGAGGCACGAAAGCGUGGGGAUCAAACAGG
Molecule: ribosomal RNA, 253 nt
Filed under: uncultured bacterium
Lineage: Bacteria
Description: partial 16S ribosomal RNA
Rfam family: Bacterial small subunit ribosomal RNA
Source: RNAcentral